Molecule: ribosomal RNA, 404 nt
Filed under: Brucella melitensis
Lineage: Bacteria; Pseudomonadati; Pseudomonadota; Alphaproteobacteria; Hyphomicrobiales; Brucellaceae
Also listed under: 1 other name
Description: partial 16S ribosomal RNA
Rfam family: Bacterial small subunit ribosomal RNA
Source: RNAcentral
UGGGGAAUAUUGGACAAUGGGCGCAAGCCUGAUCCAGCCAUGCCGCGUGAGUGAUGAAGGCCCUAGGGUUGUAAAGCUCUUUCACCGGUGAAGAUAAUGACGGUAACCGGAGAAGAAACCCCGGCUAACUUCGUGCCAGCAGCCGCGGUAAUACGAAGGGGGCUAGCGUUGUUCGGAUUUACUGGGCGUAAAGCGCACGUAGGCGGACUUUUAAGUCAGGGGUGAAAUCCCGGGGCUCAACCCCGGAACUGCCUUUGAUACUGGAAGUCUUGAGUAUGGUAGAGGUGAGUGGAAUUCCGAGUGUAGAGGUGAAAUUCGUAGAUAUUCGGAGGAACACCAGUGGCGAAGGCGGCUCACUGGACCAUUACUGACGCUGAGGUGCGAAAGCGUGGGGAGCAAACAGG